This 774-nucleotide ribosomal RNA is filed under the name uncultured Neocallimastigales. RNAcentral describes it as "partial large subunit ribosomal RNA". It matches the Rfam family "Eukaryotic large subunit ribosomal RNA", at positions 23 to 644 of the family's 3401-position model. Lineage: Eukaryota; Fungi; Neocallimastigomycota; Neocallimastigomycetes; Neocallimastigales. The record is from RNAcentral.
AGAGAGAGACAUGCGCGCAUAUCAAUAAGCGGAGGAAAAGAAACUAACAAGGAUUCCCUUAGUAACGGCGAGUGAAGCGGGAAGAGCUCAAAUUUGAAAUCUUCAAGGUUCUACCUUGACGAAUUGUAGUUUAUAGAAGUGUUUUCUGUUAAUGGAGUGGCAAAAGUUCUUUGGAAUAGGACAUCAUAGAGGGUGAGAAUCCCGUAUUUGGUCAUUCCUCCUAGCGUUGUGAUACACUUUCAACGAGUCGGAUUGUUUGGGAAUGCAGUCCAAAAUGGGUGGUAAAUUUCAUCUAAAGCUAAAUAUUGGCGAGAGACCGAUAGCGAACAAGUACCGUGAGGGAAAGAUGAAAAGAACUUUGAAAAGAGAGUUAAACAGUACGUGAAAUUGUCAAAAGGGAAGCGUUUGACACCAGUGUUGUUUUUCCGAAAAUCAAUUACGAAUGUUUUGUUUUUGAGGAGUUAUGACUUCAUCGGCUUGCUCCUUUCUUUACGAAACUUUCUUAAUGCACUUUUCGGUUAACAAGUCAACAUCAAUUUCUUUUGUUGUAAAAGGGUAUGAGGAAGGUGGCUUUCUUUUCGGAGAAAGUGUUUAUAGCCUCGUGCCUCUGCAAUCGGAGAGAUUGAGGUCUGCAGCGUAGAUCCUUCGGGGUUAGAUACGUUUGUGCUAAGUUAUAGCUUUUCAUAGACAACUUGUUGACUAUGUUUAGUCUUGUAGCUUACUCGCUGACACUAUUUUACCUACGCUUAGGAUGUUGAUAGUCACAGCGUGUAC